GAGUGCUAAAAAGAUCAGUACUGGUGGUCAAAUUGCAGCCUGUGCCACUAAGAUAUUUUAUCUGCUUUUAAACCCAUUCGUAUGAGCUGCUAAGGUGUUUUUUUUUUUAAAUCAGAAUUAAAUGAAGCAGGUAAAAUAGGCCAAGUAUAUCAGAAGCUUCCUGUUGCCUUACAGUGAAGUGCAGUGAAUCAGAGAAAUCUGUGCAGUAGCAACAUUCUGUUUUCUUGUUGGAAGUUUGGAAUGCUGCAUUUUUGUGAUGAAAGAAUGAUGUGGCCUAUUCUGUGUCAUGAAGCUUCAGUAAGGUGGUGUGUCUGCAGAUCCCAAGCAGUCUCCCAUCUACUCGCUGAUCAGACCAAAACAUAAUCCAUACCACAAUCUACCUACUGUAAUGCCCUGGACUCCAUCUCCCAGUCACAGAUGGUUCUGCCUACAGGCACUGACCACCAGUUAUGAGAAGAUUUGGCAUGAAGAUCUGGAGGACCUAUGCUAAGGAGAUCCAGGCACUUUUGAAGUGGCCUUCUUUGUUGGAAUGCUGAGGUGGAGAUGGAGCGUCGGGGCAGAAAAUAUGGUAUCUUCUCGGUUCCUGUUACCACAAAUGUAAACUUUUCUUAGAAUGGAACAUGAAGUAAAGAGUACCGUUUCCAGCUGUGUAGACCAUGGAGCUGCUGACAGAAGCAGACACAGAAAAAAUAAGCCCUGUUCCUUGAAACAUUUGAGAAAUGAUCAAUUCUAAAUAGCAUGACGAAAACUUCAGCAACAGUUGGACCAUACACUCAAAGUGCUUGCUGUUUGGUAGGUCAAAUGACUGCCAUGCUCCUCAAUGCCAUGCAAAAUAUAACAGUGUUCUGUCUGUCUGACUGAGAGAGAGAGACCUUUGGCUAAUUCUGCAGCAGCCUCUUUCUCCCACUGCUUCCGUUGCUUCUCAGAUUGUGUUUGGAGGGAAGAACCAAAGAUGUACAACAGCCUUUAUAUUACAGAUAAUUACCCCUUGGUGCUUAUCAAAGGUUGCAGUGUCUAGCACUGGAUGCAAUGAGUGUUGAAGGAUAGUUGUGUUUUGCUAUUUCUUUUUUAAUAAAAUGCUAAUAUGUUUUGAGGCUUUGUAUGUUUCAGAUGUUGCUGCUGAAGAGGGCUUUUUUAUGGCAUGGAUAUAGAGCUUCUCCUCAGCUCCUGACCUCAGGCCACCAUGCCCCGACUUGUUAAGUUACUGUAAGACCCUUGGGAAGCAACUGUUCCACUUCUUUGAGUCUGUUAUGUCCAGCUCCCAGGAUACCAAGAGUGCUAAAUACAUAUUCAUUGGGGAAUAUGGUGGUGGGGUUGGUGGAGGAGGAGGAGGAAGAGAAAGAAGAAAAAGUGACUCAUGCAUCUAUUUUAAAAUAAACAUUUCAUCUCUAAUACGGUUUAAUUCAGAAUCGAAAUCACAAAUGUUCUCCAUUUGCAUUGUGUUUCAAAGGAGACAUGGAUCUGCAAGAUUAAAUUCUACCCUUUUAAAAUCCUACUGUUCAUAUAAAAUUUACAUCUCUGCUGUUAAAUCUAUGGGCUAUGAUUCACCCGAUUCAGUUUCUGUGUAAAGAAACGCAACAUUA
Long non-coding RNA from Rhineura floridana, 1583 nucleotides. RefSeq lists it as uncharacterized. The transcript is spliced from 4 exons. Lineage: Eukaryota; Metazoa; Chordata; Lepidosauria; Squamata; Rhineuridae. The record is from RefSeq and is a predicted model, not a curated record.